AAAAGGGUUCACAUUUCCAUCCAGACAGUGAUUUAUUUGUCCCAAAUGAAAGGAAAGAUAUAAUCACCUCAACUGCUUGUUGGACAGCAAUGGUUGGCUUGCUUGCAUAUUUGUCGUUUACAAUGGGACCAAUGCCAUUGCUUAAACUCUACGGCAUCCCUUAUGCGGUACAUGCUUCAGUUCCUACAUAUAUUUCUUCAAAACAAUUUCGGUAAAAGUACUACGAAGGCCUUUAGACUAGAAACCGAAUUGCAUUUUACCCCCUCUAUUUAAAAUAAGCAAACUGGUCCUUCUACGUUAGUUUUUAACAAUAAAAAUGAACGAAAUUUUUAACAGAAAGGCCAAGUUUGCUCUUUAGUCUAACAUACAGGGACCAAUUUGCCCAUUUUUUGAGUGAAUGGAGUAAAAUGCAAUCUAACUCUCAGUACAGUGGUCUUAAUGGUACUUUUACCAAAAAAAUUCAUAUUUCUGGUCUGAUAUAAUGGACUCACAUAUAAAAUGGCAGAUAUUUGUGAUGUGGUUGGAUUUGGUGACAUACCUACAUCACCAUGGUCAUGACGAGAAGCUUCCAUGGUAUCGAGGAAAGGUUCGGGAUAAUGUUUAUUCUUCUUCACCAAGAAACCAUCCAUGUUAUGUAUGGUAUAACAAUUGAAACUUCUCUGUGUUUUACUAACCAGGAGUGGAGUUACCUGAGAGGAGGGCUUACGACGCUUGAUCGGGAUUAUGGAUGGAUUAACAACAUCCACCACGAUAUUGGAACUCAUGUUAUACAUCAUCUCUUCCCUCAAAUCCCACAUUAUCACUUGAUUGAAGCUGUGAGUAUCAUCAUCAUCAUCAUCAUCUUAUUUUCCUGCAUCAGUUAUGUUUUAGGUUUUCCACAUACUAAAGAAAAUGGUACAUGAAUUACAGACCGAAGCAGCGAAGCCAGUGCUCGGGAAAUACUACAGGGAGCCAAAGAAAUCCGGGCCUUUACCAUUUUAUUUACUUGGGAUACUCAUAAAAAGCAUGAGAAAGGAUCAUUAUGUGAGUGACAUUGGUGAUGUUGUGUACUAU
RNAcentral lists this long non-coding RNA (1053 nucleotides) under Gossypium barbadense (sea-island cotton). RNAcentral describes it as "long non-coding RNA (GBAR_LNC023606)". The record is from RNAcentral. Lineage: Eukaryota; Viridiplantae; Streptophyta; Magnoliopsida; Malvales; Malvaceae.